RNAcentral lists this ribosomal RNA (429 nucleotides) under Chloroflexota bacterium. RNAcentral's name for it is "Chloroflexi bacterium partial 16S ribosomal RNA". It matches the Rfam family "Bacterial small subunit ribosomal RNA", at positions 355 to 776 of the family's 1533-position model. Lineage: Bacteria; Bacillati; Chloroflexota. The record is from RNAcentral.
UGGGGAAUAUUGCACAAUGGGCGCAAGCCUGAUGCAGCCAUGCCGCGUGUAUGAAGAAGGCCUUCGGGUUGUAAAGUACUUUCAGCGGGGAGGAAGGGAGUAAAGUUAAUACCUUUGCUCAUUGACGUUACCCGCAGAAGAAGCACCGGCUAACUCCGUGCCAGCAGCCGCGGUAAUACGGAGGGUGCAAGCGUUAAUCGGAAUUACUGGGCGUAAAGCGCACGCAGGCGGUUUGUUAAGUCAGAUGUGAAAUCCUCGGGCUCAACCUGGGAACUGCAUCUGAUACUGGCAAGCUUGAGUCUCGUAGAGGGGGGUAGAAUUCCAGGUGUAGCGGUGAAAUGCGUAGAGAUCUGGAGGAAUACCGGUGGCGAAGGCGACUUUCUGGCCAUAACCUGACGCUGAGGUACGAAAGCGUGGGUAGCAAACAGG